CAAAAUGCUCCUCCAAUGCCAAAAACGACCAACACUUUCCCCAGUCGAAUUCUCAAAGCUAGAGUUUUCCCCCAAACGGCACAACACUUUCUCCCAUUCAAAACUCAAUUUUCUCCUAAUAUCUCUCCCCUUAUCCCUCCUUGAAUUACUCCACCGAUUUCUCCUCAACUCCCCCAACAACUCCAUUCAAAUUCUAUUCAAACUCCCCUUAGUUGUGUUUCAAUCCAACUCCACUACCUACACAGCUCAAGCAGCAAAAAGAAAAAAAACUCCAUUGCGCAACCCAAGACUUGAACCUCAAAUCUCACCGUUACACAACACGCCACCUUGCCACCAAACCACAAGCUAUUUCUG
This 354-nucleotide long non-coding RNA is filed under the name Gossypium raimondii (Peruvian cotton). Its description in RNAcentral is "long non-coding RNA (GRAI_LNC001486)". The record is from RNAcentral. Lineage: Eukaryota; Viridiplantae; Streptophyta; Magnoliopsida; Malvales; Malvaceae.